Long non-coding RNA from Pteronotus mesoamericanus, 469 nucleotides. RefSeq lists it as uncharacterized. The record is from RefSeq and is a predicted model, not a curated record. The transcript is spliced from 3 exons. Lineage: Eukaryota; Metazoa; Chordata; Mammalia; Chiroptera; Mormoopidae.
UUCUCCUUCUUUCCCCCCAAUAGAUCUUGGUUUGGCGAUACCCGAUAUUCACCAUUCAUUACAAGGAGGGGUGCACCAUCCCCCUGACUGCUGCUUCUCCUACACCCCACGGAAGAUCCGAUGCGGAGUCAUGGAUGAUUAUUAUGUAACAACCAGUGGGUGCCCCAUGCCUGCUGUCAUCUUUCGCACCAAGCGGGGUAAGCAAGUCUGCGCAGACCCCAUGAGAAUCGAAGUUCAGGAUUGCAUGGAAACACUGGGCUCAGCCGAAGGAGCUGUACGUCUUUUCGCGUGAAACGAGAUGCGAUGCACCCACCUGCAUUCUCUCACCUCCUGGGAGUUUCUUGGCCUGAAUUCUUCCUUCAAAAGCAACAAAUAUUGUUCUGCUCACAUUAUAAACACUGUGUACCAAUAAAAAGUAUACAGUGUAACUGUACUUGACCUUUAAGAGGAGAAAGAAAUGUAGGAAUUG